UCUGCCGUGGCACACCUCCAAGCUUAUUUUCUUUCCCCACAUUAGCUCAGGGAUUGAAAUGCUGACUUCUUUGUUUUGUCAGAAAUAUUGAGCCUUAGCUGCUGUUCAGCUUAUAAACCGCCAACACAAGUUCUGCCAUGGGAUAGGCCUGUAUGGCUAUAAGGUGCUUUGUGGGAGCUCUGGCUAUGAGUUGAUUCUAUGAUGUUGUACAACAGGCAAGAAAACAGAGGAAACUCCCGGGGUAGCAGUUGGGGCUAAGGAAGGCUAAGCUGAUUGCUGCUGGCUGGUGACUUCCCUUAGAAGCUGGUGUUGGACUGGAGCAGCCAGCUUGGGCCAUGAGCCAGAAGUCCCUCUUCCCUCUGAGGACCAGAGCCAACAUGGAGGUUUAGACCAGACAGACGCUGAGCAAGUGUUCAGUGCUGUGGGUCCUCUGCCUGGGAAUGGAGUGGUGUCAGCUGCAGACUGGAUGACUGGGUCUUCAGCCCACCGUUAAUCCGUUACGGUAACACUGACGGCGAGAGACAUCCUAACCCCGGCGACCACAACAGAAUCUACCUCUUUUUCCUCAUCCGACUCUAUCUGGACUCUC
Long non-coding RNA from Oncorhynchus gorbuscha (pink salmon), 589 nucleotides. RefSeq lists it as uncharacterized. The record is from RefSeq and is a predicted model, not a curated record. NCBI's taxonomy places the organism in Eukaryota, Metazoa, Chordata, Actinopteri, Salmoniformes, Salmonidae. The transcript has 3 exons.